CCUUGUAGGACCACCAGUGGCGAAGGCGUCAGACUGGAACGCGCCUGACGGUGAGGGACGAAAGCCAGGGGNNAGCGGAACCGGGAUGUAGAUACCCGGGUAGUCCUGGCCGUAAACGAUGCGCACUAGGUGAUGGUGCGGCUAUGAGCCGCAUCAGUGUCGUAGGGAAACCGUUAAGUGUGCCGCCUGGGAAGUACGGUCGCAAGGCUUAAACUUAAAGGAAUUGGCGGGGGAGCACCACAAGGGGUGAAGCCUGCGGUUCAAUUGGACUCAACGCCGGGCAACUUACCAGGGGAGACAGCAGAAUGAGGGUCAGGUUGACGACCUUACCCGACAAGCUGAGAGGAGGUGCAUGGCCGUCGCCAGUUCGUGCUGUGAGGUAUCCUGUUAAGUCAGGCAACGAACGAGACCCGCACCUUUAUUUGCCAUCAAGAAGUCACGACUUCGUUGGGAACGAUAAAGGGACCGCCGUCGAUAAGACGGAGGAGGGAGCGGGCAAAGGCAGGUCAGUAUGCCCCGAAACCCCUGGGCCACACGCGGGCUGCAAUGGUGCGAACAAUGGGCUGUGACUCCGAAAGGAGAAACCAAUCCCGAAAUCGCAUCUCAGUGGGGAUUGUCGACUGUAACUCGUUGACAUGAACGUGGAAUCCCCUAGUAAUCGCGCGUCACCAUCGCGCGGUGAUACGUCUCUGCUCCU
RNAcentral lists this ribosomal RNA (697 nucleotides) under uncultured crenarchaeote. RNAcentral's name for it is "bacterial SSU rRNA". It matches the Rfam family "Archaeal small subunit ribosomal RNA", at positions 647 to 1337 of the family's 1478-position model. Lineage: Archaea; Thermoproteati; Thermoproteota. The record is from RNAcentral.